Gadus macrocephalus (Pacific cod) is the source of this 257-nucleotide long non-coding RNA. RefSeq lists it as uncharacterized. The transcript has 2 exons. Lineage: Eukaryota; Metazoa; Chordata; Actinopteri; Gadiformes; Gadidae. The record is from RefSeq and is a predicted model, not a curated record.
GACCGGGAGAGGGGUAGGAGCAGGUGUAGAGGCUGGGAGAGGAGCAGGAGUAGUGACCGGGAGAGGGGUAGGAGCAGGGGUAGAGACCGGGAGAGGAGCAGGAGUAGUGACCGGGAGAGGGGCAGGGGUAGGAGCAGUGACCGGGAGAGGGGCAGGGGUAGGAGCAGUGGGAGAGGGAGGGGUGGGGGAGAUGGAAGGGAUCGUUUGGGGUCCAGUAGCUGCAGGUGCUUCAGCCUCAUCGUCAUCUGUUAUCUCCA